Molecule: ribosomal RNA, 723 nt
Filed under: Bacillus sp. 1Ma
Lineage: Bacteria; Bacillati; Bacillota; Bacilli; Caryophanales; Bacillaceae
Description: bacterial SSU rRNA
Rfam family: Bacterial small subunit ribosomal RNA
Source: RNAcentral
CUUUGGUCUGUAACUGACGCNGAGGAGCGAAAGCGUGGGGNGCGAACAGGAUUAGAUACCCUGGUAGUCCACGCCGUAAACGAUGAGUGCUAAGUGUUAGGGGGUUUCCGCCCCUUAGUGCUGCAGCUAACGCAUUAAGCACUCCGCCUGGGGAGUACGGUCGCAAGACUGAAACUCAAAGGAAUUGACGGGGGCCCGCACAAGCGGUGGAGCAUGUGGUUUAAUUCGAAGCAACGCGAAGAACCUUACCAGGUCUUGACAUCCUCUGACAAUCCUAGAGAUAGGACGUCCCCUUCGGGGGCAGAGUGACAGGUGGUGCAUGGUUGUCGUCAGCUCGUGUCGUGAGAUGUUGGGUUAAGUCCCGCAACGAGCGCAACCCUUGAUCUUAGUUGCCAGCAUUCAGUUGGGCACUCUAAGGUGACUGCCGGUGACAAACCGGAGGAAGGUGGGGAUGACGUCAAAUCAUCAUGCCCCUUAUGACCUGGGCUACACACGUGCUACAAUGGACAGAACAAAGGGCAGCGAAACCGCGAGGUUAAGCCAAUCCCACAAAUCUGUUCUCAGUUCGGAUCGCAGUCUGCAACUCGACUGCGUGAAGCUGGAAUCGCUAGUAAUCGCGGAUCAGCAUGCCGCGGUGAAUACGUUNNCGGGCCUUGUACACACCGCCCGUCACACCACGAGAGUUUGUAACACCCGAAGUCGGUGAGGUAACCUUUUAGGAGC